This is a long non-coding RNA of Carassius carassius (crucian carp), 421 nucleotides long. RefSeq lists it as uncharacterized. The transcript is spliced from 3 exons. Lineage: Eukaryota; Metazoa; Chordata; Actinopteri; Cypriniformes; Cyprinidae. The record is from RefSeq and is a predicted model, not a curated record.
AGACGCUCCCUCACUCCAGCUCUUACUGUCUCAUCAGGACCAGAUGCUGCUGUGGUUUCUUCAUCCUCAGUGACCCCAGAGCAGUGAGAGCAUCUAGAGAAAGACCACAAGACACUGAGGAUGUGAUUUUGGGGCCUACAAUCCCCUGAUCAACCUGGAGAACAGAGCCUUGCCCGAGGACACACUGGUGUUCCUGUGGCUCAAGUGGUAGAGCAUUGCGUUAGCAGUGCAAGGUUGAGGGUUCGAAUACCAGGGAACACAUGUUAGGUAGUCGUGCUCAUGGGGUGCAGGCACAUGAAAGUUUGGAGCAGACACAGCGGUCAGAUUGUCCUGCACGUGUUCUUCUGCUCUCGCUUCAAGGUUGUGUGGCUCAGAGAGCCGUCAUCAUGGUCUUCCUCAUCCUGUUGCUCAACGACGUCCC